This 469-nucleotide ribosomal RNA is filed under the name uncultured bacterium. Its description in RNAcentral is "bacterial SSU rRNA". It matches the Rfam family "Bacterial small subunit ribosomal RNA", at positions 329 to 794 of the family's 1533-position model. The record is from RNAcentral.
GGCCAGACUCCUACGGGAGGCAGCAGUGAGGAAUAUUGGUCAAUGGGCGGAAGCCUGAACCAGCCAAGUCGCGUGAGGGAAGACUGCCCUAUGGGUUGUAAACCUCUUUUGUCAGGGAGCAACGCCGGCUACGUGUAGCCGGACUGAGAGUACCUGAAGAAAAAGCAUCGGCUAACUCCGUGCCAGCAGCCGCGGUAAUACGUAGGGUGCGAGCGUUAAUCGGAAUUACUGGGCGUAAAGGGUGUGCAGGCGGCUGAGUAAGACAGAUGUGAAAUCCCCGGGCUUAACCUGGGAACCGCAUAUGUGACUGCUUGGCUAGAGUGCGUCAGAGGGAGGUGGAAUUCCACGUGUAGCAGUGAAAUGCGUAGAUAUGUGGAAGAACACCGAUGGCGAGGGCAGCCUCCUGGGACGCAACUGACGCUCAUACACGAAAGCGUGGGGAGCAAACAGGAUUAGAUACCCUGGUAUC